UACGUAGGGUGCGAGCGUUAAUCGGAAUUACUGGGCGUAAAGCGUGCGCAGGCGGUUUUGUAAGUCUGUCGUGAAAGCCCCGGGCUCAACCUGGGAAUUGCGAUGGAGACUGCAAGGCUUGAAUCUGGCAGAGGGGGGUAGAAUUCCACGUGUAGCAGUGAAAUGCGUAGAGAUGUGGAGGAAUACCGAUGGCGAAGGCAGCCCCCUGGGAUAACACUGACGCUCAUGCACGAAAGCGUGGGGAGCAAACAGG
RNAcentral lists this ribosomal RNA (253 nucleotides) under uncultured bacterium. RNAcentral describes it as "partial 16S ribosomal RNA". It matches the Rfam family "Bacterial small subunit ribosomal RNA", at positions 524 to 776 of the family's 1533-position model. The record is from RNAcentral.